Molecule: ribosomal RNA, 597 nt
Filed under: uncultured bacterium
Lineage: Bacteria
Description: bacterial SSU rRNA
Rfam family: Bacterial small subunit ribosomal RNA
Source: RNAcentral
AUGCAAGUCGAACGGGAAUUUUGAAAAGCUUGCUUUUUAAAAUUCUAGUGGCGGACGGGUGCGUAACACGUGAGCAACCUGCCCAAAAGAGGGGGAUAGCCCGAGGAAACUCGGAUUAAUACCGCGUAUGGUACGGAAAGGCAUCUUUCCAGUAUUAAAGGUGGGGAUCACUUCGGUGACCUGCCGCUUUUGGAUGGGCUCGCGGACUAUCAGCUUGUUGGUGAGGUAAAGGCUCACCAAGGCUACGACGGGUAACUGGUCUGAGAGGACGAUCAGUCACACUGGAACUGAGACACGGUCCAGACACCUACGGGUGGCAGCAGUCGAGAAUCAUUCGCAAUGGGCGAAAGCCUGACGGUGCGACGCCGCGUGGAGGAUGAAGGCCCUAGGGUCGUAAACUCCUGUCAUUAGAGAGUAAGGCUUAUUGGUUAAUAUCCAGUAAGAUUGAUAUUAUCUGAAGAGGAAGGGACGGCUAACUUCGUGCCAGCAGCCGCGGUAAUACGAAGGUCCCAAGCGUUGUUCGGAUUUACUGGGCGUAAAGCGUGCGUAGGCGGCAAGGUAAGUCAGAUGUGAAAUCCCGGGGCUCAACCCCGGAAC